GUAUCUGUAGCGCAAUCGGUUAGCGCGUUCGGCUGUUAACUGAAAGGUUGGUGGUUCAAGCCCACCCAGGGACG
This is a non-coding RNA of Danio rerio (zebrafish), 74 nucleotides long. The record is from Rfam. Lineage: Eukaryota; Metazoa; Chordata; Actinopteri; Cypriniformes; Danionidae.